GGGCCUGCAGUGGGUACGGGCAGACUAGAGUGCGGUAGGGGAGAUUGGAAUUCCUGGUGUAGCGGUGGAAUGCGCAGAUAUCAGGAGGAACACCGAUGGCGAAGGCAGAUCUCUGGGCCGUAACUGACGCUGAGGAGCGAAAGGGUGGGGAGCAAACAGGCUUAGAUACCCUGGUAGUCCACCCCGUAAACGUUGGGAACUAGUUGUGGGGACCAUUCCACGGUUUCCGUGACGCAGCUAACGCAUUAAGUUCCCCGCCUGGGGAGUACGGCCGCAAGGCUAAAACUCAAAGGAAUUGACGGGGACCCGCACAAGCGGCGGAGCAUGCGGAUUAAUUCGAUGCAACGCGAAGAACCUUACCAAGGCUUGACAUACACCAGAACGGGCCAGAAAUGGUCAACUCUUUGGACACUGGUGAACAGGUGGUGCAUGGUUGUCGUCAGCUCGUGUCGUGAGAUGUUGGGUUAAGUCCCGCAACGAGCGCAACCCUCGUUCUAUGUUGCCAGCACGUAAUGGUGGGAACUCAUGGGAUACUGCCGGGGUCAACUCGGAGGAAGGUGGGGAUGACGUCAAAUCAUCAUGCCCCUUAUGUCUUGGGCUUCACGCAUGCUACAAUGGCCGGUACAAAGGGCUGCAAUACCGUGAGGUGGAGCGAAUCCCAAAAAGCCGGUCCCAGUUCGGAUUGAGGUCUGCAAC
This 696-nucleotide ribosomal RNA is filed under the name uncultured bacterium. RNAcentral describes it as "bacterial SSU rRNA". It matches the Rfam family "Bacterial small subunit ribosomal RNA", at positions 617 to 1311 of the family's 1533-position model. The record is from RNAcentral.